UGCGCCCGUGGCGGAAUUGGCAGACGCGCUAGAUUUAGGUUCUAGUGUCUUAUGACGUGAGAGUUCAAGUCUCUCCGGGCGCACCCA
This 87-nucleotide transfer RNA is filed under the name Corynebacterium flavescens. RNAcentral describes it as "tRNA-Leu". It matches the Rfam family "tRNA". From Rfam's summary of the family: Transfer RNA (tRNA) molecules are approximately 80 nucleotides in length. Their secondary structure includes four short double-helical elements and three loops (D, anti-codon, and T loops). The record is from RNAcentral. Lineage: Bacteria; Bacillati; Actinomycetota; Actinomycetes; Mycobacteriales; Corynebacteriaceae.